This is a non-coding RNA of Pediculus humanus corporis (human body louse), 47 nucleotides long. Lineage: Eukaryota; Metazoa; Arthropoda; Insecta; Psocodea; Pediculidae. The record is from Rfam.
AAAACGGCCCUUUUCAGGGCCAAAAAUGUAACACGUUUCAGAAGUUU